UACGAAGGGGGCUAGCGUUGCUCGGAAUCACUGGGCGUAAAGCGCACGUAGGCGGAUUGCUAAGUCAGGGGUGAAAUCCUGGAGCUCAACUCCAGAACUGCCUUUGAUACUGGCGACCUUGAGUCCGGGAGAGGUGAGUGGAACUGCGAGUGUAGAGGUGAAAUUCGUAGAUAUUAGGAAGAACACCCAUGGCGAAGGCAGCAUACUGGCCGGCAUCUGACGCUGAGGCGCGAAAGCGUGGGUAGCAAACAGG
This 253-nucleotide ribosomal RNA is filed under the name uncultured bacterium. RNAcentral describes it as "partial 16S ribosomal RNA". It matches the Rfam family "Bacterial small subunit ribosomal RNA", at positions 524 to 776 of the family's 1533-position model. The record is from RNAcentral.